This 430-nucleotide ribosomal RNA is filed under the name bacterium. RNAcentral's name for it is "partial 16S ribosomal RNA". It matches the Rfam family "Bacterial small subunit ribosomal RNA", at positions 355 to 776 of the family's 1533-position model. The record is from RNAcentral.
UGGGGAAUAUUGGACAAUGGGCGCAAGCCUGAUCCAGCCAUGCCGCGUGUGUGAAGAAGGCCUUUUGGUUGUAAAGCACUUUAAGCGAGGAGGAGGCUACUUGGAUUAAUACUCUAGGAUAGUGGACGUUACUCGCAGAAUAAGCACAGGCUAACUCUGUGCCAGCAGCCGCGGUAAUACAGAGGGUGCGAGCGUUAAUCGGAUUUACUGGGCGUAAAGCGUGCGUAGGCGGCUUCUUAAGUCGGAUGUGAAAUCCCUGAGCUUAACUUAGGAAUUGCAUUCGAUACUGGGAAGCUAGAGUAGGGGAGAGGAUGGUAGAAUGCCAGGUGUAGCGGUGAAAGGCGUAGAGAUCUGGAGGAAUACAGAUGGCGAAGGCAGCCAUCUGGCCUAAUACUGACGCUGAGGUACGAAAGCAUGGGGAGCAAACAGG